This 386-nucleotide ribosomal RNA is filed under the name Chlorobiota bacterium. RNAcentral describes it as "bacterial SSU rRNA". It matches the Rfam family "Bacterial small subunit ribosomal RNA", at positions 1 to 388 of the family's 1533-position model. Lineage: Bacteria; Pseudomonadati; Chlorobiota. The record is from RNAcentral.
ACGGAGAGUUUGAUCCUGGCUCAGGACGAACGCUGGCGGCGUGCCUAACACAUGCAAGUCAAGGGGUGCAGAGGUUAUCCUCUGCUGCCACUGGCGCACGGGUGAGUAACGCGUAGGUAACCUACCCUCAGCCCUGUCAUAACCCUGGGAAACUGGGGCUAAUAACAGAUGAGGUCAGGGUGGGGAAGAUCCCCCUGAUCAAAGGGGCAACCCGGCUGAGGAUGGGCCUGCGUCCUAUCAGGUAGUUGGUGAGGUAAUGGCUCACCAAGCCGACGACGGGUAGCUGGCCUGAGAGGGUGGUCAGCCACACCGGCACUGAGACACGGGCCGGACUCCUACGGGAGGCAGCAGUGGGGAAUCUUGCACAAUGGGCGAAGAGCCUGAUG